Non-coding RNA from Lonchura striata (white-rumped munia), 209 nucleotides. The record is from RefSeq and is a predicted model, not a curated record. NCBI's taxonomy places the organism in Eukaryota, Metazoa, Chordata, Aves, Passeriformes, Estrildidae.
UUGUUGUUGCUAAUCCUACUGGGAGGAGUCCCUUGUGCCCUAAAGGGCUCCAAAAUACAUCAAUUCCUCUGCUGCCUCGAAAUAUUAUCAAACGUUUUAAACUCUUCAGUGUUUUUAAUGAAUAAUUCUGAAGCUAAGGGCAAGAAGAGUAUUUUUAUGUUUACUUCAAGAAUUUAAAUCUGAAGAAGAAAGGAGGCAUCUUCAUCCAG